CGCAGCUAACGCGAUAAGUCGACCGCCUGGGGAGUACGGCCGCAAGGUUAAAACUCAAAUGAAUUGACGGGGGCCCGCACAAGCGGUGGAGCAUGUGGUUUAAUUCGAAGCGACGCGAAGAACCUUACCUGGCCUUGACAUGCUGAGAACUUUCCAGAGAUGGAUUGGUGCCUUCGGGAACUCAGACACAGGUGCUGCAUGGCUGUCGUCAGCUCGUGUCGUG
RNAcentral lists this ribosomal RNA (223 nucleotides) under Pseudomonas aeruginosa. RNAcentral describes it as "partial 16S ribosomal RNA". It matches the Rfam family "Bacterial small subunit ribosomal RNA", at positions 847 to 1069 of the family's 1533-position model. The record is from RNAcentral. Lineage: Bacteria; Pseudomonadati; Pseudomonadota; Gammaproteobacteria; Pseudomonadales; Pseudomonadaceae.